AGCGAACGCUGGCGGUAGGCCUAACACAUGCAAGUCGAACGGCAGCACAGUAAGAGCGUGCGCUUACGGGUGGCGAGUGGCGGACGGGUGAGGAAUACAUCGGGAUCUACUUUUUCGUGGGGGAUAACGAAGGGAAACUUACGCUAAUACAGCAUACGACCCACGGGUGAAAGCAGGGGAUCUUCGGACCUUGCGCGAUUGAAUGAGCCGCUGUUGGAUUAGCUAGUUGGCGGGGUAAAGGCCAAGCAAGUCGCCGGUCCGUGGCUGGUGUGGGAGACGGGUCGGCCACCCUGGAGCUUAGACACCGUCCAGGCUCCUACGGGAGGCAGCAGUGGGGAAUAUUGGACAAUGGGCGCAAGCCUGGUCCAGCCAUACCGCGUCGGUUGAGAAGGCCUUCCGGUUGUAAAGCCCUUUUGUUGGGAAAGAAAAGCAGCAGGUUGUUACCCCGCUGUUCUGACGGUACCCAAAGAAUAAGCACCGGCUAACUUCGUG
Molecule: ribosomal RNA, 492 nt
Filed under: uncultured bacterium
Lineage: Bacteria
Description: partial 16S ribosomal RNA
Rfam family: Bacterial small subunit ribosomal RNA
Source: RNAcentral